RNAcentral lists this ribosomal RNA (253 nucleotides) under uncultured bacterium. Its description in RNAcentral is "partial 16S ribosomal RNA". It matches the Rfam family "Bacterial small subunit ribosomal RNA", at positions 524 to 776 of the family's 1533-position model. The record is from RNAcentral.
UACAGAGGUCCCAAGCGUUGUUCGGAUUCACUGGGCGUAAAGGGUGCGUAGGUGGCGAGGUAAGUCGGAUGUGAAAUCUCGGAGCUCAACUCCGAAACGGCAUUGGAAACUACCUUGCUAGAGGGUUGGAGGGGGGACUGGAAUUCUCGGUGUAGCAGUGAAAUGCGUAGAUAUCGAGAGGAACACCAGUGGCGAAGGCGGGUCUCUGGACAGUUCCUGACGCUGAGGCACGAAGGCCAGGGGAGCAAACGGG